GACCACGUAGCUCAGUUGGCAGAGCAUUGGACUAGGCCCAAAGGUUGCGGGUUCGGUUCCCACCGUGGUCA
Paramuricea clavata is the source of this 71-nucleotide non-coding RNA. Lineage: Eukaryota; Metazoa; Cnidaria; Anthozoa; Malacalcyonacea; Plexauridae. The record is from the annotation of a GenBank genome assembly.